CUCACUGCAUAGCUUCCAGUUAACUGAAUGGGGUAUAGGCAAAACAUCAUCACACAUACAACCUCCUUACUCAUCCUCUUUCUUUCCUCAGUAUUCUAUGUGCUUUCUUAUCUCCCUUCUAGUGUAACAUUAGAGAAGGGGUGUACUCUGUGCCCUAGAACUAGGAGCUAACAGAGAAAAACCAAAUGUGAUGUGGAGUCUGCUAGACGGGCUACUGGAGCAAGAGUGAAGCGAUGAAAGUCUCAAUGGGACAUAUUAGGUACCAGUUCCUUUAAUUCAGUAAUUUUCAUUCAGUGAUUUAUGUGUGGAGCAUUGAUCUAAGCACUGGGGAAACAGCACAGAGAACAAGACAAACAUGGUCCCCGGACAUAUCAUUCUAGUUUGAGAAAACUGGUAAUAAGCAG
Molecule: long non-coding RNA, 404 nt
Organism: Nomascus leucogenys (northern white-cheeked gibbon)
Lineage: Eukaryota; Metazoa; Chordata; Mammalia; Primates; Hylobatidae
Exons: 2
Source: RefSeq, a predicted model, not a curated record